RNAcentral lists this ribosomal RNA (125 nucleotides) under Lonchocarpus vittatus. RNAcentral describes it as "partial 18S ribosomal RNA". It matches the Rfam family "Eukaryotic small subunit ribosomal RNA", at positions 1711 to 1831 of the family's 1831-position model. Lineage: Eukaryota; Viridiplantae; Streptophyta; Magnoliopsida; Fabales; Fabaceae. The record is from RNAcentral.
AAGAUCGCGGCGACGUGGGCGGUUCGUUGCCCGCGACGUUGUGAGAAGUCCACUGAACCUUAUCAUUUAGAGGAAGGAGAAGUCGUAACAAGGUUUCCGUAGGUGAACCUGCGGAAGGAUCAUUG